This 253-nucleotide ribosomal RNA is filed under the name uncultured bacterium. Its description in RNAcentral is "partial 16S ribosomal RNA". It matches the Rfam family "Bacterial small subunit ribosomal RNA", at positions 524 to 776 of the family's 1533-position model. The record is from RNAcentral.
UACGUAGGGGGCGAGCGUUGUCCGGAUUUAUUGGGCCUAAAGCAUCCGUGGCCGGUUCUACAAGUCUUCCGUUAAAUCCACCUGCUUAACAGAUGGGCUGCGGAAGAUACUAUAGAGCUAGGAGGCGGGAGAGGCAAGCGGUACUCGAUGGGUAGGGGUAAAAUCCGUUGAUCCAUUGAAGACCACCAGUGGCGAAGGCGGCUUGCCAGAACGCGCUCGACGGUGAGGGAUGAAAGCUGGGGGAGCAAACCGG